GGUCAAGCUACAAAGAGCACAUGGUGGAUGCCUUGGCAGAUGAAGGCGAUGAAGGGCGUGGUAAGCUGCGAUAAGCUUCGGGGAGGUGCAAACUACCUUAGAUCCGGAGAUGCCCGAAUGGGGAAACCCUUCCGAGUAAUGUCGGAAUACCACAGGAAGAAAACCUAACGGGAAGUAUUCCUGUGGAGCUAACCUGGCGAACUGAAACAUCUAAGUACCCAGUGGAAGAGAAAUCAACUGAGAUUCCCCUAGUAGCGGCGAGCGAACGGGGAACAGCCCAAACUCGGUCCUGCGUAAUAGCUGGUGCGCGUUGCAGGGCGGGGGUAUCAGGGUCGUUAUUGGUUCCGUGUACCAACCGGAGCCGGAGAGUCAAAAAGUCGUUCCUUAGCCGAAAGGUCUGGGAAGUCCUACCAUAGACGGUGAUAGUCCGGUAGGCGAAAAGGAAGCGAUCUCUCUUUGACGAUACCUAAGUACCACGGAGCACGAGAAACUCUGUGGGAAUAUGGGGGGACCACCCUCUAAGGCUAAAUACUCUCAUCUGACCGAUAGUGAACUAGUACCGUGAGGGAAAGGUGAAAAGUACCCCUGGCGGGGAGUGAAAUAGUACCUGAAACCAUGUGCUUACGAUCAGUCGGAGCCUUGUAUUUAUACAGGGUGACGGCGUGCCUUUUGCAUAAUGAUCCGGCGAGUUGCUUGUAUGCAGCAAGGUUAAGCCCUUCUGGGGCGUAGCCGUAGCGAAAGCGAGUCUGAAUAGGGCGUUUUAGUUGCAUGCAGCAGACCCGAAACUGGGUGAGCUACCCAUGGCCAGGAUGAAGUGACGGUAACACGUCAUGGAGGUCCGAACUGAUGAACGUUGAAAAGUUCUCGGAUGAGCUGUGGGUAGGAGUGAAAGGCCUAUCAAACCCAGGGAUAGCUGGUUCUCCUCGAAAUAUAUUUAGGUAUAGCCUCGGAAAGUUUGUGGCGGAGGUAGAGCACUGGAUGGGGAAGGGAUCUUACCAGAUUACCGACCCCACUCAAACUCCGAAUACCGUGCACAUCAAUUCCGGGAGUCAGGCAGUGGGGGAUAAGCUUCAUUGCCGAGAGGGAAAAAACCCAGAUCGUCAGCUAAGGCCCCAAAGUGCCAGCUAAGUGAGAAAGGAUGUGGAAUUUCAUAGACAACCAGGAUGUUGGCUUAGAAGCAGCCAUCAUUUAAAGAGUGCGUAAUAGCUCACUGGUCAAGUGGUUCUGCGCCGACAAUUUACGGGACUAAUAAGCUGGCCGCCGAAGCUGCGGACUUGACAGGCGUUCGCGUCUGUCAUUUGGUAGAGGAGCGUUGCAUUGUAGGAUGAAGCGGUGUUGUAAGGCACCGUCGACGAAAUGCAAGUGAGAAUGCCGGAAUAAGUAGCGAAAAACCAGGCGAGAAACCUGGUCACCGAAAACUCAAGGGUUCCUGGGGAAGGCUAAUCCUCCCAGGGUAAGUCGGGCCCUAAGCCGAGGCCGAAAGGCGUAGGCGAUGGAAAUCCGGUUAAUAUUCCGGAACCACCGAUCACGCGUCAUCACCUAAGGGGGGACGCAGGAGUGAGAUCCCAUCCGCGAUUGGUUGUGCGGGUCUAAGCUGGUAGGGGGAUCCGGUUGGCAAAUCCGCCGGGUCAUUCAACCCCGAGAAGCGAUGGGGAGUCCGUAAGGACGUAAAAGGGAUCGAAUCACGCUGCCAAGAAAAUCCUCGUAGGGAGUUUGAUUGGUGUCCGUACCGUAAACCGACUCAGGUGAGUGAGAAGAAUAUUCUAAGGUGCUCGAGAUAACCUCCUUUAAGGAACUAGGCAAAUUAGCCCCGUAACUUCGGGAGAAGGGGCCCCCGUUUCCGUCAGGUAUAUCCAUAUCGAAGCGGAUUUGGGGCGCAGUGAAAGGGCUCAAGUGACUGUUUAUCACAAACACAUGACUCUGCUAAGCCGAUGAGGCGAUGUAUAGGGUCUGACACCUGCCCGGUGCUGGAAGGUUAAGAGGAGAUGUUAGUCGCAAGGCGAAGCAUUGAAUCGAAGCCCCAGUAAACGGCGGCCGUAACUAUAACGGUCCUAAGGUAGCGAAGUCCCUUGUCGGGUAAGUUCCGACCUGCACGAAUGGUGUAACAAAUUGAGCGCUGUCUCAAAGGAGGGCUCGGCGAUAUUGUAGUGGCGGUGAAGAUGCCGCCUACCCGCAGAUGGACUAAAAGACCCCGUGAACCUUAACUGUAGCUUGGCAUUGGCUUUUGAUAAUACUUGUGUAGGAUAGGUGGGAGACUUUG
This 2260-nucleotide ribosomal RNA is filed under the name bacterium. Its description in RNAcentral is "partial 23S ribosomal RNA". It matches the Rfam family "Bacterial large subunit ribosomal RNA", at positions 1 to 2159 of the family's 2925-position model. The record is from RNAcentral.